GCCUUGUAAUAUCUGAGUAGAUUGUUGCUCUUGUAAAGCGAAGGGGGUGAGAGGAUUCACCACAGGGUU
Molecule: transfer RNA, 69 nt
Filed under: Anadara pilula
Lineage: Eukaryota; Metazoa; Mollusca; Bivalvia; Arcoida; Arcidae
Description: tRNA-Thr
Source: RNAcentral